CGGGGGUUAGAACUGUCNCCGGACGGGCUCUAGAGAUAGGGCGUUCCCUUUGGGAACUGGUGCAGAGUUGUUGCAAUGACUGUCGUCAGCUCGUGUCGUGAGAUGAUGGGUUAAGUCCCGCAACGAGCGCAACCCUCGUCCGUAGUUGCCAUCAUUAAGUUGGUAACUCUACGGGAGACUGCCGGUGACAAACCGGAGGAAGGUGGGGAUGACGUCAAGUCAUCAUGGCCCUUAUGGCCAGGGUUACACACGUGCUACAAUGGUCGGUACAGAGGGUUGUAAGCCGCCACUUGUAGCCAAUCCCAGAAAACCGAUCCCAGUCCGGAUUGGAGUCUGCAACUCGACCCCAUGAAGUCGGAAUCGCUAGUAAUCGCGAAUCAGCUAUGUCGCGGUGAAUACGUUCCCGGGCCUUGUACACACCGCCGUCACACCAUGGGAGUUGGCUGCACCAGAAGCAGGUAGUCUAACCGCAAGGAGGACCCCUGCCACGGUGUGGUCAAUGACUGGGGUG
This 511-nucleotide ribosomal RNA is filed under the name uncultured bacterium. RNAcentral describes it as "bacterial SSU rRNA". It matches the Rfam family "Bacterial small subunit ribosomal RNA", at positions 974 to 1482 of the family's 1533-position model. The record is from RNAcentral.